RNAcentral lists this ribosomal RNA (404 nucleotides) under uncultured Hyphomicrobiales bacterium. RNAcentral's name for it is "bacterial SSU rRNA". It matches the Rfam family "Bacterial small subunit ribosomal RNA", at positions 355 to 776 of the family's 1533-position model. The record is from RNAcentral. Lineage: Bacteria; Pseudomonadati; Pseudomonadota; Alphaproteobacteria; Hyphomicrobiales. RNAcentral also lists the same sequence under 1 other name.
UGGGGAAUAUUGGACAAUGGGGGCAACCCUGAUCCAGCCAUGCCGCGUGAGUGAUGAAGGCCCUAGGGUUGUAAAGCUCUUUCGGCGGGGACGAUAAUGACGGUACCCGCAGAAGAAGCCCCGGCUAACUUCGUGCCAGCAGCCGCGGUAAUACGAAGGGGGCUAGCGUUGCUCGGAAUCACUGGGCGUAAAGCGCACGUAGGCGGAUCUUUAAGUCAGAGGUGAAAUCCCAAGGCUCAACCUUGGAACUGCCUUUGAUACUGGGGAUCUCGAGUCCGGAAGAGGUUGGUGGAACUCCGAGUGUAGAGGUGAAAUUCGUAGAUAUUCGGAAGAACACCAGUGGCGAAGGCGGCCAACUGGUCCGGUACUGACGCUGAGGUGCGAAAGCGUGGGGAGCAAACAGG